RNAcentral lists this ribosomal RNA (123 nucleotides) under Paenibacillus albidus. RNAcentral describes it as "partial 23S ribosomal RNA". It matches the Rfam family "Bacterial large subunit ribosomal RNA", at positions 2795 to 2925 of the family's 2925-position model. Lineage: Bacteria; Bacillati; Bacillota; Bacilli; Caryophanales; Paenibacillaceae. The record is from RNAcentral.
CCCCUCAAGAUGAGAUUUCCCAACACGUAAGACCCCUUGAAGACGACGAGGUAGAUAGGUUGGAGGUGGAAGUGCAGCAAUGCAUGGAGCUGACCAAUACUAAUCGGUCGAGGGCUUAUCCAA